UGUUGGGGAGACUUUUGAGGCAACACAGACAGAUAGCAUCUAUAGCUUGGGCCAUGUCACAGUCCUCUCCAUCCACAUGUCUAAGCUGGAAUAGCUGGGGCUCCUCAGAAAACCCUUCCUAUCUCUACACGGCCUCUCCUUGUGAUAUAUCCAGCAGAGCAUCUGCCUAGGGGCUGGCUGCUUAUGUGGCUGUUCAUGGCUCUAAAGGCACGCAUCAUGAGAGAGGCCACCAGGUGGAGGCUGCCCUGCCUUCCUGACCCACCUUCUUAGAAACCCUGGUGAGUCAUUUCUAGUACAUCCUAUUAGUCAAAGCAGUCAAAAGGCCCACCCAGGCUCAAGAAGAGAAGACUCAGCCUCCAUCUCCUAAUGGAAGAGUUGCAGAACUCUAGAAUGUGCAUGUGGGGUUGAAAAUACUGUUGCGGCCAUUUUUGGAAAAUACAAUCUGCCAUCAGACAUUUCACAGAUGCUGAGAGGCAGGACAGACCUCAGCUGAUAUCUGAGUUACAAUCAGAAAACAAAACAAAACAAAAAACCCAGCACUACUAUUGUUUAAGACAAAAUAUUAACAGAACUAAACUUCAAAUGAAACUAAGAUCCUUUGGAAGAACAUGGAAAGAGACUUUUAUUAUAGCAGAUUUACCAGGAUUGGCUGUGAAAAUCAUAAUGGAAACGGACAAGCCAUAAGAAAAAUGUUUCUCUCUUGUUCAGAACUUUCUGCAUGGCUCCAACAGUGCUGGAAAUUCACCAGGAAAGAGCUGGAGGAGGCCCCAGAGUCAGCAGGCUGGGAAACUGAGGCUCAGAGAAGGGAAGAUUUGCCUGCCAGACUCUAACGGCACCUCUGCUAGGACUCAGAUUGGCCCACGUGGGGUGUGGCACGUGCCUGAGGCCCCUGCAGUUCCCUUCCUUGCAAUGGGCAGGCCAAGCUGGAGAUCAUGCCAAAGAGUGUCAAACAGGAACGCGUCUUCCUUCUAGAAAUACGUUAUGGAUCAGCACACAGGCCCCUCAAGACCCCAGCAAUGCAGUUUGCCCAAAGCCUAGCACACAGUAACCCAGAAACAUGUGAAAAAUUAUGUAAAUGUUGCUGGUCUUUACACCAUUUGUCACUUUCAUUCUUAUCUCAAGGAACGGAGAACAGGGACAAAAAUACAGACUUCCUUGACGAAGGAUAAAGUACGCAUGCUGGUGCUAGCACCUGCCUCCAUUGUUUGAAAGAACGUAUGUGCACACGGAAGAAGCAAGACUCCCAAGAAAAAGAGCCGAAGUGUGCAAGGCUUCUUGAAGGCUCGGGUCAAAACAAGCAAAUGUUCUUCUUAUAAAUUCUGUUGGUCAAAGUAAGAUCCAGAGUCAGCCCAGAGGAGACAGUGGGGGAGAAACUCCACCUCUUCACAGAAGGAGCUACGGCGAAACAUGCAAAAAGAUGAGCACAAGGAGAAGCCAAGGCUCUUGACUGUUUGUGCCAGGUAAGAUGGAUGAGCACUCUUCAGCAUCUCUCCCUGGGACACACAGCUCUGAAAGCUGGAGACUGUACAAGAUGCUGUGUGAGGAUUCUGAAAGGCUAUGAGCAGUCCGAACCUGUGGAGGAGAACCAGCAUCGGAUGAACCAUUGACUGACUAACAAAAGGACAAGACACCGAUGAAAAUGAUGGCCCAGAUGAUCCAGCAUCCAGAAAAGCUUCUAGGCUGCUGACUGAGAUGAUCCAGUCUCACAGAAUACUACAGCUAAGACUUAACAAUUAUCUUAAAUUUUCUCAGGUCCUCUAAAGAUUACCAGUGCCCCCUAUCAUCAGGAAGUAGUCUAGAAAUGAUGCCCACAUUCCAAAAAAAAUGAAUUAUGGAUAUUUAUUAUCAUUUUGGGGGGGUUGGUUACAAGUUGUUAUUGGUAAUGGUCAGGAAAAAAGCUGAACAAAGAAGAUUAGAUUCAGGGAUCUUGUUCUGAAAAGAAAAAGGGGGAUAUAGAAAUGAUAGGAUAAAAGGGUAGAUUAUUGAAUCUACUUUAAUCCAGAAAACAACUGUUAAUCUCAAAAUAUUUUACAUUGGUAUAGGUUUUAGUUUACUAACACAAAUUUAAUUUUGUUAUACUGUAUGUAUUUUUCUACUCUUGUUUAGGGUAUUAUGUGUAUGCAGCUCAUUUAAAAUGUGACAUGUAAUUAAGAAAUAAAGAUUAAUCGUUCUCUAUCAUAGCAAACUUAUAGUCAUGUUAGAUACAUUUUCAAGGUCAAACAAAGAUAUAUUUCAGAUAGAUAGGGGAUCUUCAAACACUGCAAAGACCUGCAGAAUAUGACAUUUAA
Molecule: long non-coding RNA, 2288 nt
Organism: Peromyscus eremicus (cactus mouse)
Lineage: Eukaryota; Metazoa; Chordata; Mammalia; Rodentia; Cricetidae
Exons: 6
Source: RefSeq, a predicted model, not a curated record